This 253-nucleotide ribosomal RNA is filed under the name uncultured bacterium. RNAcentral's name for it is "partial 16S ribosomal RNA". It matches the Rfam family "Bacterial small subunit ribosomal RNA", at positions 524 to 776 of the family's 1533-position model. The record is from RNAcentral.
UACGGAGGGUGCAAGCGUUAUCCGGAUUUACUGGGUUUAAAGGGUGCGUAGGCGGCUUUUUAAGUCAGUGGUGAAAGCCUAGUGCUUAACACUAGAAUGGCCAUUGAUACUGGAAAGCUUGAGUCAAGGAGAGGUAAGUAGAAUUUAUAGUGUAGCAGUGAAAUGCUUAGAUACUAUAAGGAAUACCAAUAGCGAAGGCAGCUUACUGGCCUUGCACUGACGCUGAGGCACGAAAGCGUGGGGAGCAAACAGG